AAAACGUAUCUUAGCGCCUCAUUUUAUAUUUUGAUAACAUAUUUUAGCGCCUCAUUUUAUAUUUUGAUAUCAUAUUUUACCGCCUUAUUUUAACAUUACUUAAAUUACCAUUUCUCUCGAUAAUUUUCGAGAUCAGCGCUUCCUCCCUCUUCUAUGACUUAUAGUAUUGUCAUGAUGUGAGAAUAAAUACACUGAUUUUCGAGUAAUUUCAGUAUAUUUCUUUUGUUUGUCAACUGUUAAGUUAUAGUUAAAACUUAAGUGCAAAAAUUGUUUUACAAUUAGAGUUAAAUAUACUUCGAAAACAACCAAUAGUCGAAAAAAGUUUUUUAGUUUAAAAAAGUUUAAAAUUUUACACAAUUAUGUUUAUGUUAUUAUAUUAUAAUUGGUACUAUUACUAUUUGUACAGUAUUUGAUAUCGAUACAAAGAAAGAAAAUGAAUUAAAUGCUAACGAUUUCUCUACUUCUCGGGAUAGUGAUGAUGAACUCUUGUUUGAUGUUGCUGAAAAGAUCGAUCCGAAGGAAACCGAAAAUAUUACUGUUUAUCCAAGCUGUGUAAAUAGUGAAUUGAUUGGAUUGGGGAUCGAGUAUUUAAAUAAACUAAAACAAUCAAACAUAAAAAGUGAUUGUGUGAAGACUUCAAGUUCAGAAUUGAUUGAAUCAGCUUUUUCGGGCAAUAUAAAUGUAUACAGAAUUGAAAAUAUAGAUCCGUUUACUAUCAGCGAGUUCAUUGAGCGACAUGCAUUUGAUAUUACAAAUGUGUGGGAAAAAUCAAUCAAGAAAA
Daktulosphaira vitifoliae (grape phylloxera) is the source of this 781-nucleotide long non-coding RNA. RefSeq lists it as uncharacterized. Lineage: Eukaryota; Metazoa; Arthropoda; Insecta; Hemiptera; Phylloxeridae. The transcript is spliced from 4 exons. The record is from RefSeq and is a predicted model, not a curated record.